This 529-nucleotide ribosomal RNA is filed under the name uncultured Haloquadratum sp. RNAcentral describes it as "bacterial SSU rRNA". It matches the Rfam family "Archaeal small subunit ribosomal RNA", at positions 1 to 529 of the family's 1478-position model. The record is from RNAcentral. Lineage: Archaea; Methanobacteriati; Methanobacteriota; Halobacteria; Halobacteriales; Haloferacaceae.
AUUCCGGUUGAUCCUGCCGGAGGCCAUUGCUAUCGGAGUCCGAUUUAGCCAUGCUAGUCGUGCGAGUUCAGACUGCGCGGCACCGAGCUCAGUAACACGUGGCCAAACUACCCUACAGAGACGGAUACCCUCGGGAAACUGAGGUUAACCCGUCAUACCGAUCUCAGGCUUGAAUCGCAGAGAUCACAAAACGCCCCGGCGCUGUAGGAUGUGGCUGCGGUUGAUUAGGUAGACGGUGGGGUAACGGCCCACCGUGCCCAUAAUCAGUACAGGUUGUGAGAGCAAGAACCUGGAGACGGAAUCUGAGACAAGAUUCCGGGCCCUACGGGGCGCAGCAGGCGCGAAACCUUUACACUGCACGCACGUGCGAUAAGGGGACUCCGAGUGCGAGGGCAUAUCGUCCUCGCUUUCGUGUACCGUAGGGUGGUACACCAACAAGGGCUGGGCAAGACCGGUGCCAGCCGCCGCGGUAAUACCGGCAGCCCGAGUGAUGGCCGAUCUUAUUGGGCCUAAAGCGUCCGUAGCUAAG